GAGUGGAAGCGGCAUGCGCGCUCAUCUCGGUGGGACUGAACGCAUCGAAAACCGGAGACGGGAGAGAAGAUUGACCGGUUUGCGUCCGUUAAGGAGCCUCAGACCGCGGGGAGCGAUGCUCAGAACGAGUCACUCCGCAGGCAGCAGGACUUAAAAAGCUGCGGUCCAUCCAUCUGGACACUUUUUACUCUCACCCCUUCCCCUUUGAUAAGAAAUAUAAGAAUCCAGACAGUCAUCUUCCAGUUUACAGUCCUCUUUGGGUAUCUAAGCCCAGUUUAAAGACCAGUCUCGGUUUGAUUUUAGCACGAUGUGGAAGACCGGGAUCCUCCUGCUACUGUGGGUGUUUUUGGCGUCCGGCGAACUCCAACAAGAGACGGAGCCGCGGAGACUCCCACCCCCGGGAAAGUUGGAUUUCGGUUAUGUGCCUGCGGGAGUUUACGAGACUCUGGCCCAUUACGAACCGGGACCCAUAGGGAUCUUGUUCCAUAUGGUGCACGUUUUUCUGCAUGUCGUGCAACCCAACCCUUUCCCACAAGAUCUUAUUGUCAAACUGGCAAAAGACAAGUUUGGAGCCAUUCAGACUGAAUACCAAAAGGCCAUCUACUACGAGAUAGGCUUCCUAGUAUGUGCGGCAGUUGGCCUGCUGUUCGCCGUUUUGGUGCCGAUAGCCGGCCUCUUCUUCUGCAUGUGCCGCUGCUGUGACAACUGUGGUGGCGAGAUGCACCAACGCCAGAGGAAGAACGCAGACUGCCGGCGUGGCCUGCUGGGAACACUACUCUUCGCCACCUCACUGGUCAUCACGAUCGGAGUGCUGUGUGCAUAUGCUGCCAAUCAAAACCUGAGCUCUCAGGUGAAGAACAUACGGAGAUUGGUCAACAGCAACAUGAGGGACCUGCACACCUUCGCUAAUGAUACACCAAUGCAAAUUGAUUACCUAAUAUCCCAAUAUGCCACAGCCAAGAACAAAGUCAUCUAUGACCUAGAUAAUAUAGGUCCAUUAUUAGGUGGAAGGAUACACGAUCAGUUGGAUAAGGAGGUCCAUCCUGCCUUGGACAGAGUGCUCAAUAUGGCUGGAGUGAAAAUCGAGAGAGCCAUCAAAGCCAUGCGAGAAACCAAGGAGGCCCUGGAGAACGUUAAUGCUGGUCUAGAGGUCCUGCAGGUAGGAACAGGGAAACUCAACUUCAACCUGAGCCUGGUCCGGACCAGUAUCAACCGCACCCUCAACGACCCGGGCUGUCAUGACGAGGAGUCAGACGCCACCUCUGCCCAGCUGUGCCGCAACAUACGCCAGUCUCUGUUCCAGCUGCAGAUCAGCGCCAAUUUCACACGGUUACCAUACGUGAAUGCUCAGCUGGAAAAGGUGAACCAUGUCAUGAAAACGGACCUCAGUGCUAUCGUCCAGAGGGGCUACUCUUCUUUAAACAACACGCCACAUACAGUGAUUGAACAGACCAGAAGUGUUGUGGAGAGUGUACAGAGUUUGGUGGACGACAUUGGCAAAAACAUCAGCAGCUAUUCCAAGGUAUUCCCUGUGCAGAGUUCCCUGUCCAACUUCACUAUCUUCAUUAGCCAUGCCCAUGCCAAGAUUGAGGACUACUACCCUGAAAUUGACAGAAUGGACUUCUACAGGUGGAUUGGCUGUAUUGCUCUUUGCUGCAUGGUGGUCCUGGUCCUGGCCUUUAACUACCUGGGCCUGCUGUGUGGCACCCUGGGAUACGACAAGCACGCCUCACCUACGACACGAGGCUGCAUCUCCAACACAGGAGGAACGAUGCUCGUGGCCGGCGUUGGAUUUAGCAUCAUCUUCUCCUGGGUGCUGAUGGGAGUUGUGACCACCAUCUUCCUGGCUGGAGGAAACAUGGAGAAACUUGUUUGUGAUCCCUUCCACACCAAAGAAGUCUUCAAGGUUGUGGACACCCCAUAUCUGGUCAACCCAGAUUGGAGGAACUUCAUCCCUGGCUACAUGUACAACGACUCCGACCUAGAGCUGACGGCAGAGAGCUUGUACAGUACUUGCAAAGAGAACAAAGGCAUCUACUCAGCAAUGCGUCUGGACAAAGUCUUCAACAUCUCCUUGUUCCUGAACACUACAGUGUUUACUAAGGAUGUGGUGAGUCAUCUGGACAGUGUUAAGAUCGAUCUCAGGGGAAUAAUCCUGUUAGAGACAGAGGGGAAGCAGAACCUUCUGGAUUUCUCUGAAGCAGGGCUGUCAGAAAUCAACUAUGCAGACUACCUGGAAGAGGUCAACAAAGGGGUCACUAUGAUUGACCUGCUCACAUUCGCCAGAGAGCUGGAGGCCCAGACUGACCUCAUGCCCAGAGGCGGUCUGCAGACUGCUCUGAAAGGCCACGUCGGUACUCUGCGGCAGAUUCACAGUCAACAGAUCAUCCCCAUGGAGCAGGCCAUGAAAUAUGUUAGAGCAAGGAGCGCACUGAACCAGAGUAUAAGGUUCCUGGAAAGAACAGCCUCAGACCUGCCAAACAAAGUUUUAGCAGUUAUCGAUGCCAUUGAAGCUGCCCAGUACCUCAUCUCCCAGAAUGCUACACAUUUAAUCAAUCGGGAAACGGAAAAAUACACAGCGACCAUUGUUGGCUACUUCCAUCAAUACAUAGAGUGGGUCAAAACAUCUUUGAUGAUGGAUGUCGCACCGUGCAAGCCCUUCAGCAACAUGGUGGACACGGCAGAGAUCAUUGCUUGCAGUUUUUUGGUCGACUCCAUGAACACAUUCUGGAUGGGUAUGGGCUGCAGCACUCUCUUCCUGCUCCCGAGCAUCAUUCUUGCAGUAAAACUAGCCAAGUACUACCGCAGGAUGGACACAGAGGAUGUUUACGAUGACAUUGAGACAAUUCCCAUGAAAACUAUGGAAAUUGGUAAUAAUGGUUAUCAUAGUGAGUGCUCACAAGGUAUCCCAAAUCCUAUGAUGACAAGCAUCCCUACCUAUGACACUAUGAACAGGUUCCCGCGGGCCUCGGCUCCUCCGAGGCACAUCGACUGGUGACAGAGAGCUGGCUCUUGUUCUGGCUCCUGAAAGGUAAUGAAAACCUUUGCAAGAGACCACUGUUUCUCUAACGCUGUUUCAUUUAACUUCUUCCUUCCAAUCUUGAAUCUCACUUUGCCACAGCUGUCAUCUGGUCCUGCUGUUUGUCUACCGUCGCAACACUGUCCAUCUCUCUCCUCUGUUUUAAUCUAAUUUAUUUGUACUUCUUAUGUAACCAAACUCUUUAACACUUCUUUACAGCUUGUUUUAGGGCUUUUCUGCUCAUAAUGACUUUGCAGGAAAACCAUCACGGUGAGAAUUGCUAAUUUUGGAAUCACUAACGAACCAUAAAUGUCUUCACGGUAUUUAUGUCUGACUACUUGUGACUGCUUAGUCAGUGUGCUGUAGAGGAGAGAAGCUGAAUCUGCUUAUGUGCUUGUUUUUGUCUUUGUUUGAUGCUUAUCGAGAUUAACAUUUACAAACCAGUAAGUAUUUAGGGACAUAUACUUUUAAAGACAUAACGAAAUGUCAAGGUUUCUCCCAAACGAUAUACAGCAUUUUAGAAUAUAGCUUUUAAUAACUGGAGGGAGAUGCGUUAUUUCUAGAGGACAGCAAGUUUUAAAAUUUUAAAAUUUUUUAGAUUUUCCCAGUAGCACCAUACGGUCUUUGAAAACCCUCCAUGGAGCUUCAUAAAAGACUUAACUGACUGCACUCUUAUGCCUGUUAUUUCACGAAACAGACAGAGCUGCAUUAAUCUCCUGGGCCAUUCAAAAGAGAAAAAAACCAUGACAGUAUGUUUUGAAUUAUUCAUUUAAUAUUUUAUAAAUCUAAUUCACUUUUCUCCAAUAUUUGCCUUCCCAGUGCCCUCGAAAACUAGAACUAAAAUACACUAUACUGUUUGUUUCACGGGCCCUUGGACCAGAAGAAGCUCAAUAAAAGCUAGUCUCUUACAACAGAAGAACACACAAAACCCUUCGGAUGUUUUUUUUUUUUUUUUAUCUUUAGCGAUCAACUCAACCUCCUCAACCAGGAAGAUUAAAGCCUCCUGCAGUUACCUGCUCCCCAUCCAAGAAACUCUGCCUGCAGGACAUCAAACUCUUCUCCUUACCUAAGCAUCAAUCUGAGCCAGGCUUGCUCUACUUCUUCUUUUUUUUUUUCUCCAAGGACUGCUGUGUCUGCGUUUACAUUUGUUCGGACACAAAACCAACAUGAAAAAUAUAUCAGCAACAGGACAUGACAAUAACUCUGAUGCCUGUUCAUAUUAAUGUACUUAUUUGUGCUUAAGAAGACAGUGGCUGAAAGGUCAUCCGAAGGUCACGGUAAGCUGCUAGAGGAAACUUUUUCUUCUGCACAUAGAAUGGAUGUAUCACAUUCAACACGUUAAUACUAAAAGUGGAAAAGUAUGUCAUUACAUCUGCAAAGCAAAAGGUGCAAAUUAACAUGAAAUUCAAUGUGUUAUAAAGCACUGUUGGUUGGGAAUGGCACAUCCUUUUUAACUGCAGCAUGUGUGAGUUGGUGGUUGUCAGUGUUCCUUAAUGACUGAGAACGGGGUGAUUUGAACAAAGUGGUAAAAAUAUAGAAAGAGGAUGGUCCCAGGUGGAUUUGUGUGACUAAUAUAAAGAAAUUUAGCAUGACUUGUUGAAAAAUGUUUACAAUAUUAUAAUUGGUUUUUGGGCGAAUUGCAAAUGACAGGUUGCCUUUCAGAAGUUUUUUUCACACUGGUUUUUGACAGUUAUGCUCCUUCUCAAAAGGGAAAAUCCACCAACCGAUGCUCUUACACUGUUAAAAUCGGUCACUAACACUAUACAUGGUGUUUAAAAUCUACUCUUUAUUUAGGCUUUUUCAGCAUACCCAUUUUCCCCUAACCAGUGUAAUCUACUCUUGUGCCAGGUCUUCAUUUCCUACAUUUCCCAGAAUGGCUUUAAACAACUCUGAAAAUAAUAAUAAAAAUAAUUAUAGCCAUUAAGACGAAUGCAUGUUAAAAGCAUAACAUGGCUUGUUGCUGCAUUCAGAUUUAAUGUAAAUGUCUGGGGCUGCUAAUUUGUUUUAACAUUGAACAAAGUGUUGGCACUAAAUCCUGACUAAAUGUAAAACUAGUAGUUCUUUGCACAGAUUGAUUUAUUUGAAUGGUUUUUGACACCGUAAAAAAGAAAAAUCACAAAGAUUAGAGAACUCGGACAACAACAUUGCAUUAUGCGCACGGAAAUUAGUUUUAACUUUUUCUUUCCUGUCUUGGGAAUCAUCUUUGGGACCCUUCACAUUUAUCCUUGGAGCAUUUAGGGAGCCUCACCCACAGUUUGGGUACCACUUAUUUAGAAAGCUAAAAAGCACAUCUUCAUUGUAGCUCUGCUGGAAAAAUCUGACCACAACAUCCUGCCAUCAAGGUUUUCGCCAUUAUUACCAACAAUACACCACAAAACAGCAAAAUCCAUCAACAAAUGCAUCACCAAAUACAAUUUUACCUUUAAGUGUUGGAGGUGGAUUUUCCCUUAAGUCAAAGCAUAACUUCUUAAUAUAUCACACACUAUGACAAGUGUCAGGCUUAUAGCUUGUUCCCUAGCUGAUUUCAACUGAGUUCACUAACAUGAGAUUUUUACUGAGAUCUUUCUUGCUUUUCAUAGUGAUGAUAAGUUUAAAGUGGAGAAAUACUUUCUCAAGCCAAAUUUCUUUUCUACUGUAGGUCUCAGGUCUUUAGUGGUCUAUCAAUUAUGUGCUUAUUUUUUCUGCUUUUUAAAACCCCACAGUAGCUAUGGAUACAUUGAAAGAAAAACUAUAUAGAACGAGUGAAUGUACUCAAGAGCUAUUUUUUAUUUUGUAUUAAAUGAUAUUGGCUGAGAAAUAUGCUGAACUCUCAUCACUAACGCAUUGGGCAAGCCAAUGCAGUUAUCCCACCCACCUCGCCUCAAUGUUUACAGGUUAGAUUUGCAUCGGCUGUCAGCUACAUAGUAAUGACGGUGAAACAUUAGACAAUCCAUUCAUGGGACAAUUCAAAUAACCAGUGCUAUAACUGUUGAUGGUGUUGAUGCCCACUGAAAAAAAAAAAAUGUCCAUCUUAACAUUAAAAGUCUGAAUUUUAUAUGUUUAGCUGAUGCUAACCAUGCAUCAGCAGAAUAAGCUAGCCUAGAGUAACUACCUUACAGUACCAAAUGUAAAUUUAGCACUAAGAAAUAUAUUUCUUAGUGCUGUAAAUUAGAUUAAAAAAAAUUGAAAUUAGAUUAAAUUAGAUUAAAUUAAAUUAGAUUAAAUGUAAAAUCAUAUAUGAUUUUACAUUUAAUCUAGUAAAAACAGAAAACUUUCAACCAGAUGAAAUAGAGUAUAUUUCAACACUUUUACUGUAUUUUGUUGAUUUUAGGAAAGAGCUGAAACGAUUUUGAAAUAACUUUGAUGCUAGCUUUUUGAUCACCUACCACCUAAAACCAACUGAUUAGCAUUAAAAAAUACAGAAAAUAUUAAUAUUGUCUGUACAUUAUUCCUUUUAUAUAUAACAAUGUGUAAGCAACUAAUUCAUUUCAUGAAUCAAAAGGAAUGCAUUCCAUAAUAUUAGAUAAGUUUUGGCCAAACAAAUACCUAGGCUAGUUAGCUAGUAGCUACAAAGCUAGCUACCUUUCUUAUGUAGCCUACAGUAGCUCAUAUACUAGUAGUAUAUACGGUACUGCAUACUACAGUACACAUAGUAGUAGCAUAAAUAAGCAGUAUGCUGUACAUACUGUACCAGUGUUCUGGAUUCAAAACGGCAUUAGCAUUACUUGUUUCUUGUUAAGAUGGACAUUUUUUAAGUAGCUGUGUGCUCACUUUGACAGGACUAUCAUUCUUGUCUGCUAGCGUCUGGAUGUAACCCGUCUUGGGCGAAAAACUAGAAUUUUACUAAGUGCUUAACAUUGAUAUCGUGUAUCUGAACCUUCAGGACGGAUACAGUGGUAACUGGUUUGAACUGCGAUGCUUCAAAGUUGGGCACUGAUGGAGCAACUGAAGAGGAACAUUUUCAUGUGGUGGUGAAAAGUGUAUAAAUUGUGAAUAAACUUUAAAAUUCAA
Perca fluviatilis (European perch) is the source of this 7009-nucleotide RNA transcript. It is a transcript of the gene named prominin 1a, with no coding region annotated. The record is from RefSeq and is a predicted model, not a curated record. NCBI's taxonomy places the organism in Eukaryota, Metazoa, Chordata, Actinopteri, Perciformes, Percidae. The transcript is spliced from 28 exons.